This 883-nucleotide ribosomal RNA is filed under the name Trichophyton mentagrophytes. RNAcentral's name for it is "LSU rRNA". It matches the Rfam family "Eukaryotic large subunit ribosomal RNA", at positions 35 to 935 of the family's 3401-position model. The record is from RNAcentral. Lineage: Eukaryota; Fungi; Ascomycota; Eurotiomycetes; Onygenales; Arthrodermataceae.
UAAGCAUAUCAAUAAGCGGAGGAAAAGAAACCAACAGGGAUUGCCCCAGUAACGGCGAGUGAAGCGGCAAGAGCUCAAAUUUGAAAUCUGGCCUCCUCCGGGGGUCCGAGUUGUAAUUUGCAGAGGAUGCUUCGGGUGCGGCCCCCGUCUAAGUUCCUUGGAACAGGACGUCAGAGAGGGUGAGAAUCCCGUCUUGGGCGGGCGGCCCGCGCCCGUGUGAAGCUCCUUCGACGAGUCGAGUUGUUUGGGAAUGCAGCUCUAAGCGGGUGGUAAAUUUCAUCUAAAGCUAAAUAUUGGCCGGAGACCGAUAGCGCACAAGUAGAGUGAUCGAAAGGUUAAAAGCACCUUGAAAAGGGAGUUAAACAGCACGUGAAAUUGUUGAAAGGGAAGCGCUUGCGGCCAGACUCGGGGGCGGGGUUCAGCGGGCGCUCGUCGCCCGUGCACUCCCCGCGCCCCGGGCCAGCAUCAGUUUCGACGGUCGGUCAAAGGCCCCCGGAAUGUGUCGUCUCUAGGGACGUCUUAUAGCCGGGGGUGCAAUGCGGCCCGUCGGGACUGAGGAACGCGCUUCGGCUCGGAUGCUGGCGUAAUGGCCGUAAGCGGCCCGUCUUGAAACACGGACCAAGGAGUCUAACAUCCACGCGAGUGUUCGGGUGUCAAACCCGUGCGCGCAGUGAAAGCGAACGGAGGUGGGAGCCUUUGGGCGCACCAUCGACCGAUCCUGAAGUCUUCGGAUGGAUUUGAGUAGGAGCGUGGCCGUUGGGACCCGAAAGAUGGUGAACUAUGCCUGAAUAGGGUGAAGCCAGAGGAAACUCUGGUGGAGGCUCGCAGCGGUUCUGACGUGCAAAUCGAUCGUCAAAUUUGGGCAUAGGGGCGAAAGACUAAU